Molecule: ribosomal RNA, 403 nt
Filed under: uncultured bacterium
Lineage: Bacteria
Description: partial 16S ribosomal RNA
Rfam family: Bacterial small subunit ribosomal RNA
Source: RNAcentral
AUUGAACGCUGGCGGCAGGCCUAAAACAUGCAAGUCGAGCGCGCGGCGGAAGGGUGAGUAAUGUAUGGGGACUGCCCGAUAGAGGGGGAUAACUACUGGAAACGGUGGCUAAUACCGCAUACUAUCGGAUAACCCAUAUGGGAUUAGCUAGUAGGUGGGGUAAAGGCUAACCAAGGCGAAGAUCUCUAGCUGGUCUGAGAGGAUGAUCAGCCACACUGGGACUGAGACACGACCCAGACUCCUACGGAGGCAGCAGUGGGGAAUAUUGCACAAUGGGCGCAAGCCUGAUGCAGCCAUGCCGCGUGUAUGAAGAAGGCCUUAGGGUUGUAAAGUACUUUCAGCGUGGAGGCGUUACCAACAUAAUAAGCACCGGCUAACUUCGUGCCAGCAGCCGCGGUAAUAC